CUGGGCGUAAGCGUGCGUAGGCGGCUUUUUAAGUCGGAUGUGAAAUCCCUGAGCUUAACUUAGGAAUUGCAUUCGAUACUGGAAAGCUAGAGUAUGGGAGAGGAUGGUAGAAUUCCAGGUGUAGCGGUGAAAUGCGUAGAGAUCUGGAGGAAUACCGAUGGCGAAGGCAGCCAUCUGGCCUAAUACUGACGCUGAGGUACGAAAGCAUGGGGAGCAAACAGGAUUAGAUACCCUGGUAGUCCAUGCCGUAAACGAUGUCUACUAGCCGUUGGGGCCUUUGAGGCUUUAGUGGCGCAGCUAACGCGAUAAGUAGACCGCCUGGGGAGUACGGUCGCAAGACUAAAACUCAAAUGAAUUGACGGGGGCCCGCACAAGCGGUGGAGCAUGUGGUUUAAUUCGAUGCAACGCGAAGAACCUUACCUGGCCUUGACAUACUAAGAACUUUCCAGAGAUGGAUUGGUGCCUUCGGGAACUUAGAUACAGGUGCUGCAUGGCUGUCGUCAGCUCGUGUCGUGAGAUGUUGGGUUAAGUCCCGCAACGAGCGCAACCCUUUUCCUUAUUUGCCAGCGGGUUAUGCCGGGAACUUUAAGGAUACUGCCAGUGACAAACUGGAGGAAGGCGGGGACGACGUCAAGUCAUCAUGGCCCUUACGGCCAGGGCUACACACGUGCUACAAUGGUCGGUACAAAGGGUUGCUACCUCGCGAGAGGAUGCUAAUCUCAAAAAGCCGAUCGUAGUCCGGAUCGCAGUCUGCAACUCGACUGCGUGAAGUCGGAAUCGCUAGUAAUCGCGGAUCAGAAUGCCGCGGUGAAUACGUUCCCGGGCC
Molecule: ribosomal RNA, 826 nt
Filed under: Acinetobacter schindleri
Lineage: Bacteria; Pseudomonadati; Pseudomonadota; Gammaproteobacteria; Moraxellales; Moraxellaceae
Description: bacterial SSU rRNA
Rfam family: Bacterial small subunit ribosomal RNA
Source: RNAcentral